RNAcentral lists this small RNA (28 nucleotides) under Bombyx mori (domestic silkworm). RNAcentral's name for it is "ovarian small RNA-35350". The record is from RNAcentral. Lineage: Eukaryota; Metazoa; Arthropoda; Insecta; Lepidoptera; Bombycidae.
UGUAAUACUUUCAAAAUUAGCUCGACGC